This 374-nucleotide ribosomal RNA is filed under the name uncultured bacterium. Its description in RNAcentral is "bacterial SSU rRNA". It matches the Rfam family "Bacterial small subunit ribosomal RNA", at positions 431 to 793 of the family's 1533-position model. The record is from RNAcentral.
CACUUUCAGUCGUGAGGAAGGUAGUGUAGUUAUAGCUGCAUUAUUUGACGUUAGCGACAGAAGAAGCACCGGCUAACUCCGUGCCAGCAGCCGCGGUAAUACGGAGGGUGCGAGCGUUAAUCGGAAUUACUGGGCGUAAAGCGCAUGCAGGUGGUUUGUUUAAGUCAGAUGUGAAAGCCCGGGGCUCAACCUCGGAAUAGCAUUUGAAACUGGCAGACUAGAGUACUGUAGAGGGGGGGUAGGAAUUUCAGGUGUAGCGGUGAAAUGCGUAGAGAUCUGAAGGAAUACCGGUGGCGAAGGCGGCCCCCCUGGACAGAUACUGACACUCAGAUGCGAAAGCGUGGGGAGCAAACAGGAUUAGAUACCCCUGGUAG